Long non-coding RNA from Mustela erminea (ermine), 2060 nucleotides. RefSeq lists it as uncharacterized. The record is from RefSeq and is a predicted model, not a curated record. NCBI's taxonomy places the organism in Eukaryota, Metazoa, Chordata, Mammalia, Carnivora, Mustelidae. The transcript has 4 exons.
GCGCCGCGUCUGCGGUGCGGGCGCCGCCGGGAGCCGGCCGGCGGGGGUCCCCGGGCAGCGGCGCCUCGCGCACGGAGCUGGCGGGCCACCGGGGCCGAGGCGCCCGGCCGGCAGGUGCGGCGGGCAGAGCGCGGGACCGUUGGCGCGGGAGGAGGAACUCACUGAUUCCGUGUGGGUUGUCCUCUCCCUUCCUCGUCGUGGAUGGACAUCUUUCCCAGAAGGCAGUCAACACAGAGACAGGCUCCAGGCCAUUCCCAGCCCCGGAGCGAGAGGCAGACAUGGAGACUGAAGGUGCCCCAGGGUCAAGUCUUCCUGGGUGCCCAGAGGCUCCCGGGGGUACCCGGAAGCCUCUCCAGGAUUUGGGCCUGGACCCUGUGGCUACUCUCGAAAGUCUCUGUGUUUCCCUCUUCCUGCAUCGCUGGGCCCAGAACCUCUCCCACAAGGGCCACAGUGGCUGAGGCGGAGCCGGAAGCCCCCGCCAUUGUCUCGAGAUCCUGCCUGUGCUGCACGUGGAGAUGUACCCCCAGGACCCCCACCUGAGACUUGAAUUGGCCCACGGGGCCGUCUUGGACCUUCCUCGUGCCCUCAAGAGAUGGAGGAGGAGAAGCUCACCUGGAGGGCGAGGCCGAGCAUGACGUUUCGCAGGAGGCAAAGCAGAACCUGCGGAGCUCCUGGUGCUGCCGUCAGGUCAUCUGUGAUCAAGGCUGCUUUCCUUCCGCGGGAGUGAGCAGUGGAGUGGAAAGGCAACGCAGAGUGUGUUUUCUUGCUCGAUUCAUUUUCUUCCCAUUUUAACUUUAAUUCUGCCUAAUCGCUGUAUUGUGACCCCAGUCGUCAAUCUUUGAUGCACUCACAAGUAGCUCUGGAAGGACCUGGCUACAAGUGCUGGGUCUUGAUGAAAUGCAGAUGGCGACAGGCUACCCGGUAAUGUCCCCCCGGGGGGGGCUGAAGCAACCCUCUCCGGCCCUUUUCGAAUUUCAGGCCAGCGUGUGGGCGGCCCUCUGCAGCACCUCUCCCUUGCAGGGCGUUACCCCCACCGCUGCCUGCACAAAACAAACAGGAGACCUGAGCGAGAAUUCAGAGCCCUUCAAAGUGCUUUCUGCCGAGCAAGAAAGCAAGUCAUUUCAGAUUCGUCUGUUCCUACAAUGGACCCAGGGCUUCGAAAACCUGGGGAGUCACACCUUGGUCAAAAAGAUGACAAUAAAACAUAUUUGCAAACAUGUUUUAUUUUAAAUAAAAUAUUCUUAAAUGGUCUGCAUUAACAGUUUAGAGACAAGACUUCUAGCAGUAAAGUCAUAAAACUUAGAAAUGACAUUUCAUCCUUUGAUGACAGCAAGAAAGGAGACUUUGUGCCGAGAAUGUUGUUUAAAUAAAUUCAGCGUAACUGUGGCACGAACAUGGGCAUGCCUGCAUACUCAGUCUGCACACGUCGUAUUUUUACACAUUAACUUCUGGAGUGUUGCGUAAUUAAUGAAGAACCAAUUCAGCACGAGUGUGAGCUGAGUCUAUGUGCCAACAAAUCGGACCCAUCUCAUAAACAAUUCGGCAUAAAAUUUUAAAAAUCAUUUUUAUCGUAAAAGGAAUUCUACCUGCUACUCAUGGAUACAUCCAUUAGUUCUGGUUUUUUGGCCAAAUGAAAUUUAACUAAGGGAAAGAGAAAAUGUAGAGUACUGAGAAUGAUCCAGAUUUUAUGGGUAAACUAAGGAAAUGGUUUAUUUCUUGUACUAAUUCCUUGGAAAAUAUCACUUUUGUUUUUUGAGGCUUAUGUUUAAUUAAUAAGAAACUAACAGAAAUACUUAAUCUGACUGCCUGUUUUUGACAAAGUUUCCAGGGAAAGAACUAGAACUAUAGCGUGGAGCGGCUGAGGAGCCUCAGGCGUCCCGCUUGAUCUGAACUCACUCCAGAUCCGUAAGACGGCAUUGGUGUUAGUGUGACAGGCGGCUCUCUGGGCUGAUUUCACAUUUGCUGGCGUUGAACUUACUGGGAUGACUUUAAGAAAUGAAGUGUAAGAAUUUGUUUUAUUAUUUUUUUAAUAUUUUAUGUGUUUAUCUGACAAGAUCACA